This 590-nucleotide ribosomal RNA is filed under the name uncultured bacterium. RNAcentral's name for it is "partial 16S ribosomal RNA". It matches the Rfam family "Bacterial small subunit ribosomal RNA", at positions 338 to 873 of the family's 1533-position model. The record is from RNAcentral.
CCUACGGGAGGCAGCAGUGAGGAAUAUUGGACAAUGGGCGCAAGCCUGAUCCAGCCAUGCCGCGUGCAGGAAGACGCAUCUAUGGUGUGUAAACUGCUUUUGUACGGGAAGAAACACUCCCUCGUGAGGGAGCUUGACGGUACCGUAAGAAUAAGGAUCGGCUAACUCCGUGCCAGCAGCCGCGGUAAUACGGAGGAUCCAAGCGUUAUCCGGAAUCAUUGGGUUUAAAGGGUCCGUAGGCGGUUUAAUAAGUCAGUGGUGAAAGCCCAUCGCUCAACGAUGGAACGGCCAUUGAUACUGUUAGACUUGAAUUACUAGGAAGUAACUAGAAUAUGUAGUGUAGCGGUGAAAUGCUUAGAUAUUACAUGGAAUACCAAUUGCGAAGGCAGGUUACUACUAGUGGAUUGACGCUGAUGGACGAAAGCGUGGGGAGCGAACAGGAUUAGAUACCCUGGUAGUCCACGCCGUAAACGAUGGAUACUAGCUGUUGGGCGCAAGUUCAGUGGCUAAGCGAAAGUGAUAAGUAUCCCACCNGGAGUAGUGNAGANAGANANANAGAUGNGNGNGAGAGNGCGAGNGANAGAGGAGAG